GAUCUAUGACAUGAAUUUAUAUACAUAAAAAUCUUAAUCUAAAAUGACAAGCAUAUGAACCAAAAAACAAUAUUUAGUAAUAGAUCUAAUCUACCACUUCUAGGUUUCGAACCUAAUACCUGAGCAUGGAUAAUCAAACUUCAUAAUUGAGAAUGUAGAUCUAGAAGUCCUCUCUAAUCACUUGCAGCCGUACAAGCAUCCGACCACUAUGGAUGGUCCACAUGAAACCCUC
RNAcentral lists this long non-coding RNA (232 nucleotides) under Elaeis guineensis (African oil palm). RNAcentral's name for it is "long non-coding RNA (EGUI_LNC072370)". The record is from RNAcentral. Lineage: Eukaryota; Viridiplantae; Streptophyta; Magnoliopsida; Arecales; Arecaceae.